ACUCCUACGGGAGGCAGCAGUGGGGAAUAUUGCACAAUGGGGCGCAAGCCUGAUGCAGCCAUGCCGCGUGUGUGAAGAAGGCCUUCGGGUUGUAAAGCACUUUCAGUCGUGAGGAAGGUAGUGUAGUUAAUAGCUGCAUUAUUUGACGUUAGCGACAGAAGAAGCACCGGCUAACUCCGUGCCAGCAGCCGCGGUAAUACGGAGGGUGCGAGCGUUAAAUCGGAAUUACUGGGCGUAAAAGCGCAUGCAGGUGGUUUGUUAAGUCAGAUGUGAAAGCCCGGGGACUCAACCUCGGAAUUGCAUUUGAAACUGGCAGACUAGAGUACUGUAGAGGGGGGUAGAAUUUCAGGUGUAGCGGUGAAAUGCGUAGAGAUCUGAAGGAAUACCGGUGGCGAAGGCGGCCCCCUGGACAGAUACUGACACUCAGAUGCG
RNAcentral lists this ribosomal RNA (432 nucleotides) under uncultured bacterium. RNAcentral's name for it is "bacterial SSU rRNA". It matches the Rfam family "Bacterial small subunit ribosomal RNA", at positions 335 to 755 of the family's 1533-position model. The record is from RNAcentral.